RNAcentral lists this ribosomal RNA (158 nucleotides) under Renealmia battenbergiana. Its description in RNAcentral is "5.8S ribosomal RNA". It matches the Rfam family "5.8S ribosomal RNA". Rfam says of the family: 5.8S ribosomal RNA (5.8S rRNA) is a component of the large subunit of the eukaryotic ribosome. Lineage: Eukaryota; Viridiplantae; Streptophyta; Magnoliopsida; Zingiberales; Zingiberaceae. The record is from RNAcentral.
CUCUCGGCAAUGGAUAUCUUGGCUCUUGCAUCGAUGAAGAACGUAGUGAAAUGCGAUACUUGGUGUGAAUUGCAGAAUCUCGUGAACCAUUGAGUCUUUGAACGCAAGUUGUGCCCGAGGCCUUGCGGUCGAGGGCACGCCUGCUUGGGCGUCAUCGC